GAGUUUGAUCGUGGCUCAGGACGAACGCUGGCGGCGUGCCUAAUACAUGCAAGUCGAGCGGAUCUUCAUUAGCUUGCUUUUGAAGAUCAGCGGCGGACGGGUGAGUAACACGUGGGCAACCUGCCUGUAAGACUGGGAUAACUUCGGGAAACCGGAGCUAAUACCGGAUGAUCCUUUUCCUCUCAUGAGGAAAAGCUGAAAGACGGUUUCGGCUGUCACUUACAGAUGGGCCCGCGGCGCAUUAGCUAGUUGGUGAGGUAACGGCUCACCAAGGCGACGAUGCGUAGCCGACCUGAGAGGGUGAUCGGCCACACUGGGACUGAGACGCGGCCCAGACUCCUACGGGAGGCAGCAGUAGGGAAUCUUCCGCAAUGGACGAAAGUCUGACGGAGCAACGCCGCGUGAGCGAUGAAGGCC
This 417-nucleotide ribosomal RNA is filed under the name uncultured microorganism. Its description in RNAcentral is "bacterial SSU rRNA". It matches the Rfam family "Bacterial small subunit ribosomal RNA", at positions 9 to 416 of the family's 1533-position model. The record is from RNAcentral.